CAGAGGGUGCAAGCGUUGUUCGGAAUCACUGGGCGUAAAGCGCGCGCAGGCGGACGUGCGAGUCUUGAAGUGAAAUCCAGCCGCUCAACGGCUGGGCUGCUUCGGAUACUACAUGUCUGGGGACCGGUAGAGGCUGGUAGAAUUGCAGGUGUAGCGGUGGAAUGCGUAGAGAUCUGCAAGAAUACCCGUGGCGAAGGCGGCCAGCUGGGCCGGGUCCGACGCUGAGGCGCGAAAGCGUGGGGAGCAAACAGGAUUAGAUACCCUGGUAGUCCACGCCGUAAACGAUGGGCACUAGGUGCCGGGGGAGCGACCCCUUCGGUGCCGCAGCUAACGCGUUAAGUGCCCCGCCUGGGAAGUACGGCCGCAAGGCUG
This 372-nucleotide ribosomal RNA is filed under the name uncultured organism. Its description in RNAcentral is "bacterial SSU rRNA". It matches the Rfam family "Bacterial small subunit ribosomal RNA", at positions 526 to 896 of the family's 1533-position model. The record is from RNAcentral.